RNAcentral lists this ribosomal RNA (363 nucleotides) under Clostridioides difficile. RNAcentral describes it as "bacterial LSU rRNA". It matches the Rfam family "Bacterial large subunit ribosomal RNA", at positions 1084 to 1454 of the family's 2925-position model. Lineage: Bacteria; Bacillati; Bacillota; Clostridia; Peptostreptococcales; Peptostreptococcaceae. The record is from RNAcentral.
CACAGACAACCAGGAUGUUGGCUUAGAAGCAGCCACUCAUUCAAAGAGUGCGUAAUAGCUCACUGGUCGAGUGAUCCUGCGCCGAAGAUUUCCGGGGCUAAAACUUACUACCGAAGCUACGGCAUCAGUAAUGAUGGGUAGGGGAGCUUCCCAUACGGGUUGAAGCAUGACCGUAAGGACAUGUGGACAGUAUGGGAGUGAGAAUGUUGGCAUGGGUAGCGAGAUGUGGGUGAGAAUCCCACAGGCCGUAAACCCAAGGUUUCCAGGGGAAGGUUCGUCCGCCCUGGGUUAGUCGGGACCUAAGCUGAGGCCGAAAGGCGUAGGUGAUGGACAACAGGUUGAUAUUCCUGUACUACCGAUAAC